Molecule: long non-coding RNA, 438 nt
Organism: Mastomys coucha (southern multimammate mouse)
Lineage: Eukaryota; Metazoa; Chordata; Mammalia; Rodentia; Muridae
Exons: 3
Source: RefSeq, a predicted model, not a curated record
ACCACACCCACUCCAACAAGGCCAUGCCUCCUAAUAGUGUCACUCUUCCAUCUGGAUGAUGAGUUGCCAACAGCUUUGGGGACAGGAGCUGUUGUCUCCCGGCCCACAAGGACAAAGGGAGCAAGAGUUCCAAUGGCCCAUGAGAACAAUGAAAAUGACUACCAGGAUCAGCUUCAGAGAGACAGCUCAACUUUAAUCAUGAACUCCUACAGAUGAUGAACGCCUUCAGCGAUAUGGCUGGAUACAAAAUUAACUAAAAAAGAAGAUCAGUAGCCCUUCACGAUAGCCACAAAUAUAAAAUAUCUUGGUGUAACUCUAAUGCGGCAAGUGAAAGAGCCAUACGACAAGAACUUCAAGUCUUUGAAGAAAUAAAUUGAGGAAGAUAUCAGAAGAUAGAAAGAUCUCCCAUACUCAUGGAUUGAUAGGAUUAACAUAGUA